AGAACGAACGCUGGCGGCAUGCCUAACACAUGCAAGUCGAACGCGUGUAGCAAUACACGAGUGGCGCACGGGUGAGUAACACGUGGGAACCUGCCCUGGAGUGGGGGAUAACCGAGGGAAACCUCGGCUAAUACCGCAUACGACCUGAGGGUGAAAGAUUUAUCGCUCUAGGAGGGGCCCGCGUCGGAUUAGCUAGUUGGUGAGGUAAUGGCUCACCAAGGCUAUGAUCCGUAGCUGGUCUGAGAGGAUGAUCAGCCACACUGGGACUGAGACACGGCCCAGACUCCUACGGGAGGCAGCAGUGGGGAAUAUUGGACAAUGGGGGCAACCCUGAUCCAGCAAUGCCGCGUGAGUGAUGAAGGCCUUAGGGUUGUAAAGCUCUUUCGGCGGGACGAUGAUGACGGUACCGCAGAAGAAGCCCCGGCUAACUUCGCGCCAGCAGCCGC
This 446-nucleotide ribosomal RNA is filed under the name uncultured bacterium. RNAcentral describes it as "SSU rRNA". It matches the Rfam family "Bacterial small subunit ribosomal RNA", at positions 26 to 518 of the family's 1533-position model. The record is from RNAcentral.